RNAcentral lists this ribosomal RNA (421 nucleotides) under uncultured bacterium. RNAcentral describes it as "partial 16S ribosomal RNA". It matches the Rfam family "Bacterial small subunit ribosomal RNA", at positions 359 to 773 of the family's 1533-position model. The record is from RNAcentral.
GAAUCUUCCGCAAUGGACGAAAGUCUGACGGAGCAACGCCGCGUGAGUGAUGAAGGCCUUCGGGUCGUAAAACUCUGUUAUCAGGGAAGAACAAGUGCCGUUUAACUGUCGGCACCUUGACGGUACCUGACCAGACAGCCACGGCUAACUACGUGCCAGCAGCCGCGGUAAUACGUAGGUGGCAAGCGUUGUCCGGAAUUAUUGGGCGUAAAGCGCGCGCAGGCGGCUUCUUAAGUCUGAUGUGAAAGCCCACGGCUCAACCGUGGAGGGUCAUUGGAAACUGGGAGGCUUGAGUGCAGAAGAGGAGAGCGGAAUUCCACGUGUAGCGGUGAAAUGCGUAGAGAUGUGGAGGAACACCAGUGGCGAAGGCGGCUCUCUGGUCUGUAACUGACGCUGAGGCGCGAAAGCGUGGGUAGCGAAC